RNAcentral lists this long non-coding RNA (269 nucleotides) under Olea europaea subsp. europaea. The record is from RNAcentral. Lineage: Eukaryota; Viridiplantae; Streptophyta; Magnoliopsida; Lamiales; Oleaceae.
CUAAACAUUAAAUUUUCAAAAGGAAAACAACGGAUUUUGGGCUCGAAAUUGACGCCCACCGAGCAUAGCUAGGUGACCACGACGUUCGCGCCGAAGAGAGCUUUUCGGAUUAGGGUCAUAAUAUCGAUUAUGAUAACCGUAGCCAAAGUUAUUGUCAAAUUAUCAAAGACGUAUCAAAAUUACCCCAAUUAAGGAAAGAUUGCAUUUAUUUUCUAUUUUUGCGCCUAUCCGUCAUCUCAUGGUAUCUCAGCGUUAUCAACGAGCUAUCU